GUGCUUGCUGCAGCAGCACAUAUACCAAAAUUGGAACCACACAGAGAAGCUUAGCAUGGUCGCUGCACAAGAAUUAAAAAUUAAAAAGAAAAAAGCUACAGAAGCAA
Otolemur garnettii (small-eared galago) is the source of this 107-nucleotide small nuclear RNA. Lineage: Eukaryota; Metazoa; Chordata; Mammalia; Primates; Galagidae. The record is from Ensembl.